AUUGAACGCUGGCGGCAGGCCUAACACAUGCAAGUCGAGCGGAAGGGGCUUCGGCCCCGAGAGCGGCGGACGGGUGAGGAUAGCGUGGGAAUCUGCCUGUAGAUGGGGGCUAGCCCGGAGAAAUCCGGAUUAAUACCGCAUAAUACCUGAGGGUUAAAGUGGAGGAUCGCAAGACUUCACGUCUACAGAUGAGCCCACGUCAGAUUAGCUAGUUGAUAGGGGAAAGGCCUACCAAGGCGACGAUCUGUAGCUGGCCUGAGAGGGUGGCCAGCCACACUGGAACUGAGACACGGUCCAGACUCCUACGGGAGGCAGCAGUGGGGAAUAUUGGACAAUGGGCGCAAGCCUGAUCCAGCCAUGCCGCGUGUGUGAAGAAGGCCUUCGGGUUGUAAAGCACUUUAAGUUGGGAGGAAGGUUCCAAGGCUAAUACCUUUGGGAAUUGACGUUACCGACAGAAUAAGCACCGGCUAAUUCCGUGCCAGCCGCCGCGGUAA
RNAcentral lists this ribosomal RNA (494 nucleotides) under uncultured bacterium. Its description in RNAcentral is "partial 16S ribosomal RNA". It matches the Rfam family "Bacterial small subunit ribosomal RNA", at positions 30 to 523 of the family's 1533-position model. The record is from RNAcentral.